RNAcentral lists this ribosomal RNA (894 nucleotides) under Mrakia gelida. RNAcentral's name for it is "LSU rRNA". It matches the Rfam family "Eukaryotic large subunit ribosomal RNA", at positions 44 to 927 of the family's 3401-position model. The record is from RNAcentral. Lineage: Eukaryota; Fungi; Basidiomycota; Tremellomycetes; Cystofilobasidiales; Mrakiaceae.
CAAUAAGCGGAGGAAAAGAAACUAACAAGGAUUCCCCUAGUAACGGCGAGUGAAGCGGGAUGAGCUCAAAUUUAAAAUCUGGCGGCCUCAGGUCGUCCGAGUUGUAGUCUAGAGAAUCGUUUUCCGCGUUGGCCUGUGUACAAGUCCCUUGGAACAGGGCGUCAUAGAGGGUGAGAAUCCCGUCCUUGACACAGACUAUCAAUGCUUUGUGAUGCGAUCUCGAAGAGUCGAGUUGUUUGGGAAUGCAGCUCAAAAUGGGUGGUAAAUUCCAUCUAAAGCUAAAUAUUGGCGAGAGACCGAUAGCGAACAAGUACCGUGAGGGAAAGAUGAAAAGCACUUUGGAAAGAGAGUUAAACAGUACGUGAAAUUGUUAAAAGGGAAACGAUUGAAGUCAGUCAUGCUUUCCGAGACUCAGCCGAUUCUGUCGGUGUACUUCUCGGUUGGCAGGCCAGCAUCAGUUUCGAUCUGUGGAAAAGGUUGGAGGGAACGUGGCAUCCUCGGAUGUGUUAUAGCCCUUCUUCGAAUACAUAGAGCGGGACUGAGGAACGCAGCGCGCCUUUUAUUAGGUUGGCCCUCGGGUACAUACGCGCUUAGGAUGCUGGCAUAAUGGCUUUAAACGACCCGUCUUGAAACACGGACCAAGGAGUCUAACAUGUUUGCGAGUGUUUGGGUGGUAAACCCGAACGCGUAAUUAAAGUGAAUGCAGGUGGGAUCCGCAAGGAGCACCAUCGACCGAUCUGGAUCUUUUGUGAUGGAUUUGAGUAAGAGCACAUAUGUUGGGACCCGAAAGAUGGUGAACUAUGCCUGAAUAGGGCGAAGCCAGAGGAAACUCUGGUGGAGGCUCGUAGCGAUUCUGACGUGCAAAUCGAUCGUCAAAUUUGGGUAUAGGGCGAA